This 232-nucleotide non-coding RNA is filed under the name Romboutsia hominis. RNAcentral's name for it is "T-box". It matches the Rfam family "T-box leader". From Rfam's summary of the family: Uncharged tRNA acts as the effector for transcription antitermination of genes in the T-box leader family. T-boxes are found upstream of many aminoacyl-tRNA synthetase genes and some amino acid biosynthetic genes usually in Gram-positive bacteria. Lineage: Bacteria; Bacillati; Bacillota; Clostridia; Peptostreptococcales; Peptostreptococcaceae. The record is from RNAcentral.
UCAAAUACUAUGAAAGAGAAAAGUAUUUUGAAUUAACUUAGUACAGAGAUAAGUACCGUAGGCUGAGAGUACUUUCUAAGUAUCCAAAAGAAGUUCCCUCUGGAGUAUUAAAGCUGAAAUUACAGUAGGCUUUAACGUUAAAACGCGUUAAGUUUAUUAGAGGUGGUUUAAUAAUUUAUUAAUUAUUAAGCUACUAGGGUGGUACCGCGAAUAAUAGUCUUUCGUCCCUAGA